Molecule: long non-coding RNA, 627 nt
Filed under: Ricinus communis (castor bean)
Lineage: Eukaryota; Viridiplantae; Streptophyta; Magnoliopsida; Malpighiales; Euphorbiaceae
Description: long non-coding RNA (RCOM_LNC001467)
Source: RNAcentral
AAAACACCAAGGUCCGAAAGUUAGUACUGCCAAUUGUGUCGGAUUUCAAAUCCUGAUGCGCCUACAUGGAGCUUGGAUUGCAAGAAGUCUGAAAUCACGGCCAAAUCACACUGGAGGACGUUGGAGCGCGGCCAAAAAGGCACUGCUCCAGUGUGACUACACCUAGGCUUCUAGAGACGAUGAAGGCUGGAGGAGGAGCUGUCCUUGGGUUUCAAAGGGUGGGGAACACAAAUCCGCCGUCGGAUUUAAAAGGAAGAGGCUACAGGUGGCUGGUUCCAUGGUGGUAACGGGGAGGAGCAACUCCACCCACAAGCCGACGUCAAACAUCGAGAAAAGGAGAAGAGGAAGACGACGCUGGAGAGGAAAGGAUAAGAAGAAAAUUUUGGUGGCUUGAUUGGAGGUGCAGGCUGUGGAAAUGGAGGUAGGGAGGAGGAGGAGGAGGAGUGUGAAAAUUUUGGUGGCUUAAUUAAAAUCCUUUUAUUUUAAUUAUUAUACAUAUGUAUGUAUUUACACACAUAUACACUUAAUUAUUAAAGUAACAAGUAAAUGCUAGCUUAAACUCUUAAUAAUAAAGAUAAGUCUAUAGAAUAAAUAAUUUUUUAAUAUUUAGUUUAAAUUAAAUCCAAG